Brienomyrus brachyistius is the source of this 433-nucleotide long non-coding RNA. RefSeq lists it as uncharacterized. Lineage: Eukaryota; Metazoa; Chordata; Actinopteri; Osteoglossiformes; Mormyridae. The record is from RefSeq and is a predicted model, not a curated record. The transcript has 3 exons.
UGUAUACGGUUGUACAUAAAAUGUUUUUCCAUCAUAAUAAUUUAACUGUGAAUCGCUAAAAAUCCGCAAGUCAGUGGCCACUGAACGCUUCCGUUUCUCAGAGACGAUGCAAGCAACACUUAUAACUCCGUUUCUACGGUAGUUAUUACAUGCAGUUAAUUUUUUCGCUGUUAACGCAGUUCCUAAUUUGAACAUUCCGUUGUGAAACUGAUUAUGUUUCUGAAUAAUGGAGAAAGCUGCAAGUUUUUUAAAUGCACAUAUAAUGCGGGAAGACGUUUGGAACAGGGAGAGGAUUCGCGCCUGUGACCGUUUACAAGAUUCUUGGAUCAAACAGACAAUUAACCAGUCGGUGAGGGUGCAGGACAACGAGCAAUCAGAAAAACACACAAAGGCAGGUACAAGAACAGGCAACAGGUGGAUCACAAGACACAGA